UACGUAGGUGGCAAGCGUUAUCCGGAAUUAUUGGGCGUAAAGAGCGCGCAGGUGGUUGAUUAAGUCUGAUGUGAAAGCCCACGGCUUAACCGUGGAGGGUCAUUGGAAACUGGUCGACUUGAGUGCAGAAGAGGGAAGUGGAAUUCCAUGUGUAGCGGUGAAAUGCGUAGAGAUAUGGAGGAACACCAGUGGCGAAGGCGGCUUCCUGGUCUGCAACUGACACUGAGGCGCGAAAGCGUGGGGAGCAAACAGGAUUAGAUA
This 261-nucleotide ribosomal RNA is filed under the name uncultured prokaryote. Its description in RNAcentral is "partial 16S ribosomal RNA". It matches the Rfam family "Bacterial small subunit ribosomal RNA", at positions 524 to 784 of the family's 1533-position model. The record is from RNAcentral.